AAAAGAUUCGCAUAUCAGAAUUAGUCCAUUUUUCAGCCUCACUUUCUCUCUCUUCGCGCAGCUCCUUGGAGGCGAUUUCAGAGGCGAUAACUCCAUACACAAACUCUUCCACCAUCGAUCUGGCAGAUCUCCUCCACCAACUACCUCCUUCCAUUUUCGCCUCUCGGUUGUCUGUCUUCUCGCAGGUCGGUUGAGGCGAUUUCAUUUGCGCCUCUCAUUUUUCUCUAUUGUUGCAGAUCGGGGUUGGAUAAUUGCAGAUCAAGCCUUUUUGUCUGCAAAUAUUUCAAAAGCAAACACCAAUUUCAUCUCUCUCAACGGAGAAUACGAAUUGACAAGUGAACGAUCAGUUCAGAAGAGAAAACGAAAAGAGGUUGCUAUUUUCGGCAAUUACAGAAACUACUAUGGUUAUCGUGUUUGUCAGGACUUGAAGGAAGAUCCUAGGUUAAAGGUUUUUAGAAAGGAACUUUUUGAAGGCAAGGAUUGUCUAGACAUUGGAUGCAAUAAUGGAUCGAUAACAAUCGCUAUUGGAUCUAGGGCCCAUGGAAGGCUAUUUGGCAUUCCAAGGUCCUCCUUAAGGUAGUUCUUUUUUGUGUGGAUUGCUGUUUUGGGGAGGAUCCUGACGCUAGUCAUCAACUAGCAGUAGAUUGAAGGACAUGGCAGUAAGUUAUGGGUAGUGGCACCAGUGGGAUUUAUAGGAAGCAUUCUCCAAUUGCUGCAACUCCAGGAAGCUAGUGAUCCCCAAGUUAAUCAAAUGGAGGCCAAUGCAAGUAUAAAGAAAUGUGUGUACAUUUUAUGAAAUGAAUUUUAGUGAUCUCCAAUUGUGUGUACAUUUAUGCAAGUAUAAUGAAGUGUGUGUGUACAAAGGAAUGUCUAGCUCCCUAUAUGUGCAACUAUAUAUGUGAAUGGUGCAACAACAAUUUAUGAAGUUUGUGAUGUACAAAAAAACUUGUGGUUUGGUGUGUUAUUUAGGAUUGAUUAAAAUCCUACCAAAUAUUUUCAAGUACUUGUUUGGAUGGCAAUAAUUUUUCUAGCAGGUUGUUUGAUGGCAUGCCUCUCUUUUUAUUUUUUUAUUUUUUUCGGGGUGAUUUAUUGUUCAGUCUUGUAAGAGAGGGAUCUUUCUUGAUUGCUUGCUUUUAAUCUUUUUUCCUAUUUAUCAAUUCUGGUUAUGGUGGGAGAUUGUACGAAAUAUUCAGAAGUUAGUUAUCAAAAUUAAUACUCAACAAAAGGGGAAAUGGUCUCAUGAGUUAACAAUCAAAA
Molecule: long non-coding RNA, 1257 nt
Organism: Cornus florida
Lineage: Eukaryota; Viridiplantae; Streptophyta; Magnoliopsida; Cornales; Cornaceae
Exons: 3
Source: RefSeq, a predicted model, not a curated record